CUGGCACCUUCGGUGUCCGAGUUGUAAUUUGAAGAAGGUAACUUUGGAGUUGGCUCUUGUCUAUGUUCCUUGGAACAGGACGUCACAGAGGGUGAGAAUCCCGUGCGAUGAGAUGUCCAACUCUAUGUAAAGUGCUUUCGAAGAGUCGAGUUGUUUGGGAAUGCAGCUCUAAGUGGGUGGUAAAUUCCAUCUAAAGCUAAAUAUUGGCGAGAGACCGAUAGCGAACAAGUACAGUGAUGGAAAGAUGAAAAGAACUUUGAAAAGAGAGUGAAAAAGUACGUGAAAUUGUUGAAAGGGAAGGGUUUGAGAUCAGACUUGGUAUUUUGUAUGUCUUGCUUUCGGGUGGGGCCUCUGCAGUUUACUGGGCCAGCAUCGGUUUGGACGGUAGGAUAAUGACAUUGGAAUGUGGCACUACUUCGGUGGUGUGUUAUAGACUUUGUU
RNAcentral lists this ribosomal RNA (441 nucleotides) under Scheffersomyces shehatae. RNAcentral describes it as "eukaryotic LSU rRNA". It matches the Rfam family "Eukaryotic large subunit ribosomal RNA", at positions 122 to 570 of the family's 3401-position model. Lineage: Eukaryota; Fungi; Ascomycota; Pichiomycetes; Serinales; Debaryomycetaceae. The record is from RNAcentral.